Long non-coding RNA from Homo sapiens (human), 850 nucleotides. Ensembl annotates it as long intergenic non-protein coding RNA 1895. The record is from Ensembl. Lineage: Eukaryota; Metazoa; Chordata; Mammalia; Primates; Hominidae.
GGCGGAGCUCACAUUCAACGUUUCUUGGGUCUAAAUCUUCCGGGCAGCUGUCUACACUUUGGCUCAGUGAUUUUCAUGGUGUGAUAUAUAGUCAACCCCACAUCAGAUCACCUGGAAUCAUUGUCGAUAUUGGGUACAACUUGCCUCACCCCAGAAUUUCAAGGAGUGUGACCUGCGAGUCUGUAUUUUUACCAGGUACCAUCUGCUGACUUCCCACAUCAGAAGAAUGAUCUUCAACCCAAGACACAGGCAAAGAGAGCAUCUAACUGCUUAAAAUGAGAGCAGGAAUGGCUGUUGGCUUAGAUAGAUGGCACCCCAGAGUCCUGAAAGAACUUGCAGAUGUGAUCACAGGACCAUCUGAACCGGAGAAACCGGGGGGAAUGGAGAGACAGCAAAAGACCGGAGAUGGGUAAAUGAGUUCCAGAUUUUCCAACACAACAGGAAAGGAAUCUACUUACCAAGAUGGCAGGAGCAAGUGGUUAUCAGAGCCUGCUCUCUAGAAAUACAAUUAAACAAGCAGCCCCUGUCUCUUUUUCUCCACUUUCAGUCUUGGGGAAGGGAUUGGAAUAUGUGAGCAGGAGAGAAGGGUCAUGUUGGAGCAGCCAGGACUCAGAGCCUUUCCGCAGACUGAGUCUGGAUCCUUUCCUUCAGCCUCCAGGAAUACUCCCGGCUCCACACCCAGAAUGGUAAUCCAGGCAAGGGCUCUGGUGUGUGGCCACACUGCCACCUAUUACCUGCGGGUCCAAAUGCAGUGACUCAACUUCUCUGUGCCUCUCUUUCCACAUGUAUAAAAUGAGGAUAAUGUUGCUAUUGUAAGAAUUGCAUCAAUUAAUAAACAGCACUCAGUGAA